UUAUCGGAGAGUUUGAUCCUGGCUCAGGACGAACGCUGGCGGCGUGCCUAAUACAUGCAAGUCGAGCGGACAGAUGGGAGCUUGCUCCCUGAUGUUAGCGGCGGACGGGUGAGUAACACGUGGGUAACCUGCCUGUAAGACUGGGAUAACUCCGGGAAACCGGGGCUAAUACCG
Molecule: ribosomal RNA, 174 nt
Filed under: Bacillus atrophaeus
Lineage: Bacteria; Bacillati; Bacillota; Bacilli; Caryophanales; Bacillaceae
Also listed under: 2 other names
Description: partial 16S ribosomal RNA
Rfam family: Bacterial small subunit ribosomal RNA
Source: RNAcentral